This 1555-nucleotide long non-coding RNA is filed under the name Acyrthosiphon pisum (pea aphid). Its description in RNAcentral is "uncharacterized LOC115033893". The record is from RNAcentral. Lineage: Eukaryota; Metazoa; Arthropoda; Insecta; Hemiptera; Aphididae.
GAUUAUUAUGGCAUUAUCUUAUGCAGAUAUAAUUUUUAUUGAUCACUUAGUUAUCUAUUACAUCACGGUUAUUGAGUAACUAAUAUAGUAUUAAUGCCGGUAUAUCACCUGAACCGAUCGUGCAGACAUUUUAUAAUAUGAUAAUUGUCGCACCGGAACUAUUUGGAUUGCACUAAUAUGUAUAUCAGGUCACAUUCAAAUUCAAUUAUGAUUAAAUUGUCCGAAACUUCGAAUAUAAUAUAAGUAUUUUUACUCAGUGUUCUAGAAGGACACCGUCAAAUUCGUUUUCAAAACACAUUCCUCGAAUCAAUGACAUGUUACAAUGUAGUGCUAUUACCUACGUUUGAUGUUUACGUUAUAAGCUACGUUUAAGCUAUGUUCAACGUUCAUAACUUCGUAACAAAAACAAAAUCAGUACGCUGUGUCACUGUUUACACCGAUAUUGUUUUUUGUUUAAAAUAUGACAUAAUAUUGAAAAAUUGAUUAAUUUUUUCGUUCGGGGAAAAGUAAAAAAAAAACUAUCUCAUUUUAUAACAUAAAUCUAUACGUUCAAUCAUGCGUACAGUAAAAUAUAGCGUGCCUGCUAUAUAAGUAUAUAGUGUAAUAAUUAAUUUCACGGAGGAUGUACUUAUUAUGGCUGUAUAUAGCAACAAAAAAAAAAAAAACGGAUAUAACUGCAAUAUAUAUGAUUGUCAUGCAGCAAACGAUCGAGGAAAUGCGAUAAAAAUCUUAAAGUUAUUACUUAUUAUUUUGCUUGGGUCGUAUAUUAAUAUAAACAGUUAUACAUUUUUAAUUAUCUAAAAAAACAUUCAACUGUGCAAUAGGUAUAAUAUGCUUGUGUGACAUUUCUAAUUUGUUUAGAUUACAAAACAAGACGUGUCAACUGGUCGGUUAUUACUAAUUAGUUAUUACAUUAUAAAACUAGCCUAUCUAUAACACGUGCAUAGACGCAUAGUUUACACAUAUUAGUACGAAGUACCUAACCGUGCACGAUAGUUACUAACCAGAAUCUAUGGCGUACACCCGAGUAAUCACUAUAGUAGCAUAGUCCGUUCCUAUCAUUAAGAAAUAUUACACGACGUGGUAUUGUACAUACUGCAGAGGGGACAUCAUGGGAUUUCUUCAAACAAAAUUAAUGUUUGUAUAUUGGAGCAAAAACGGCUAACACUUACAGAUUCGGUUCAACAGCUGGCAGACGGCAGCCAUCACGACUGUACAACAUAACGACGAGGGCUAUAAGCCGCAGAGGUAGGUUGGUUGCCUAUAUGUUAUGGAAACCUGUCCAAAACGAAAUUGUUUCCCGCUGCCGAUUCCUGUAUGCAGUCUGCUUGUCGUGCUGUUUAUGUAGAAACUACAAAGUAAAAUUAAUGUUUUAUUAUGUUUUAUAAUUCACUUUACUCAUUACAGAACACCAGUUUUGGUGUAGAAAUAAUAAAUUACAAAUUUUUAAGCACAAUUAUUAUUAGUAAUUGCUGCAUAUAGCCCUCCACGUGUAUUAACUAUAUCAUAAUAUGUGUCCCUACCUACCUGUACUAAUAAUAAUUAGCGUCAUGUA